Papaver somniferum (opium poppy) is the source of this 1060-nucleotide long non-coding RNA. RefSeq lists it as uncharacterized. The transcript has 6 exons. NCBI's taxonomy places the organism in Eukaryota, Viridiplantae, Streptophyta, Magnoliopsida, Ranunculales, Papaveraceae. The record is from RefSeq and is a predicted model, not a curated record.
AACACUUGGAAAAUAACGGCCUCCAUAUUCUCCUCCUUUGUGUGUCUAUCAAAGAUCUCUCUCAUGAACUCUAUCUACUCUAUUAUUCUGAUUUUCUUGUUCUCAUAUCAUUAAAAAUAUUGAAGUGGAGAAACUAUGGAGAGAUCGAGACGCGAAAACAGAUUAGGAGAUUUGGGAAGUUGGGUUCUUCAGGAAUUUAAAUUUGAAACAAGAAAAGGUGUUCUAACCUCACGAAUUUGUCUCAUUCUAAUAAUUAUCAUGUUUGCUGUUUCAGGAAGAGGAUUGAAGAAGAUAUGCAGGACCAAAUGAAAAGCUUGAUUAAUUGAAAUCUAGCAAAAAAUAAAUGCCCAACUGGACCGGUGGAGAACCCUGUAUUGUGUUUUCCUACACAUGUCUACAAGGAUGUCCCAGAUCCAUUACAUGCUAAAACUGCAGUAAAAGAAGUAGAAAAUUUCAAGGAGGUAUCUGAAAGCUAUCCUAGCUCAUCAAUACAGAAGCAUUUGGAUUCUGAUGUUGUUACAACGGUCUUUAGAUGUUAUCAAAUGACCUAUAUACGUGAAAUGGCUAUCAAGGUAUCGAAGACAGAAAUGUUUUCUUCUGCAGCUCGUUGGGAACGUUUAUUGGUAAAUUGAAAAAUCAAGGUGUUAGCAGCAAGAACUAACGUUCUUAAGGCAGGCUGGCAGGAAAACAUCACGACCCUCCAUUAGUGCUCCACAACAGGAUCUAGUGGUUGGAUGCGUCUUGAGAAAUUUACAGAAGAAAACAGUUGCGUCUGGACGUGUUAAUUUCAAUGCACCACCAAGUGAUGAACGUUAUGAAAUCCUUAUUGUUGAACUCAUCAAUACCAAUAUGGAGCUGUGUUGGAGAUGGAUGACUUGGAGAUAUAUUUCCCGUUGAGAUGAUUGAAUGGACACAAAAAUAUGUAACUCGUGUAUUUGGAAGUUAAUCAUGCUGUUUUGAUUUUUUUUCUCUUCAUCAUUGUUUCGAACAUGAAGCAGCUUUUGUUGAACUUGAGAUGUUUGAGUUGUGAAAUUGUUAAUUAAAUUCAAGUUAAUAUUAA